RNAcentral lists this ribosomal RNA (352 nucleotides) under uncultured bacterium. Its description in RNAcentral is "bacterial SSU rRNA". It matches the Rfam family "Bacterial small subunit ribosomal RNA", at positions 32 to 361 of the family's 1533-position model. The record is from RNAcentral.
AAUCAACGCUGGCGGCGUGCCUCAGACAUGCAAGUCGAACGCGAAAGGCUCCUUCGGGAGCCCGGUAGAGUGGCGCACGGGUGAGUAACACGUAGGUAAUUUGCCUUCGGGUGGGGAAUAACUCAGGGAAACUUGAGCUAAUACCGCAUAAUGCAGCGGCUCGACAUCGAGACAGUUGUUAAAGCGGGGGAUUCGUAAGAACCUCGCGCCUGAAGAGAAGCCUGCGGCAGAUUAGCUAGUUGGUAGGGUAAUGGCCUACCAAGGCGACGAUCUGUAACCGGCCUGAGAGGGCGGUCGGUCACACUGACACUGACAUACGGGUCAGACUCCUACGGGAGGCAGCAGUCGGGAA